AUGGAGGAACAACCUCACUUGUAUGAGGCCGCCGCCUUCCCCACCGAUCCUGAGACCACUUAUGGUGCCGCCGAGGAUGACCACACUGAUGCCAACACUGAUGGUGCCACCGAGGAUGCCACCACUGAUGAUGGCGGCGCACGCACAGACGGCAGCCAACCGAAGAGGCAACGGAAGGACCGGCGCCCGAUCGUGCUCCUCACCCUCAAGGAGGAAGUUACUGAAGUGGACUCCAACGGAAAUCCAACGGCGCCCGAACGAAUAGUCAAGGGGUACUCGCUUCAGCUCGGGUGCAUUGUCCGGAGCACCGUCUCGAUCAACACCAAGAACCUGAGGCAUCCUGACCGAGGGAAUUUGCGCAACCUCCUCUUCACGAAGCUGCAUGAACGAUACAAGUUCCCCGCUGAAUUUGCAAACACAAGCCUCAAAGGGAAUAAAGUGAACAAUGCUGCCCUCACGAAGAUGAGCAAGGCCCUGUUGGAAAAGCAAUGUGAAGAGAAUGAUCGAGAAAGGUGA
Molecule: ribosomal RNA, 516 nt
Filed under: Triticum aestivum (bread wheat)
Lineage: Eukaryota; Viridiplantae; Streptophyta; Magnoliopsida; Poales; Poaceae
Description: partial small subunit ribosomal RNA
Source: RNAcentral